AUGCUCUGAGUGUUUGGGAGUAAAACUGCAUUGUGGGUAGUCUAUCCUUCAGGAACAAUUUGCUUCUGAAAGUUUAAUGCCGGAAUCCCCCUCCCCCUCGCAGGGGCUCAUGUAAUUCAUUGCAAAUAUCGCACUGGAGCAUUGUUUGGCCUUACGACUGUGUUAGAGCGGUGUUAUGCAACAUGAGCCAUAGCUCAGCGGCAGCUGAGAGCCCAUGGAAAUGCAAAGCAACGUUUGAGAACAGUAGUACCCGACGGGGCGCCUUGGCACGACAGCAGGGAUGUUAGCGGUGCCAGGGCUGAGAAACACUGAGUUAGAAGACAGUGAGUGGAGAGAGGAGCCUGGUAAGACCAAGAACAAGGAGAGUGAAACACUGUUUCAACCUGAGGCUGCCGCCUACCCAACAAGAUCAUGAAUCACAAAGAAGUCAGCACAGUGCAUUCAUGGUUACAAAUGAUGUUCCUAUAGCAUGUUUCAUCAUCACCAAAAAAACACGAUCAAUAACCUAAGAGCCUAGUGAUCAGGGCAUGGUGACAUAAAUAACGAUGCAACCAAUCUUAAUGAGAAGUUAUGCAGACUAUAAACAUAGCUGCAAAGAUUGGUCAACGGAUAACAUCGAGUGAGAAAAAUAGGAAACAAAACUGCAUUUAUUGAAGAAAGAUAUUCACAUGUAGAAAGGUGGUUGGAAGGAAACAGCUCCUUGUGGUUAAGGUAGUAUCACUGGGUGAUGCCUCUGCUUCUGUAUGCCUUUCUUCAUUUCCUCACCUUUCUAGAACUUUCUAGAACGGACAUAUAUGGCUUUUACACUUGGAAAUAAAAGUUCUUAUCAAAGAUCAACACAGAAAGUUGUUACAUUGGGAUCCAGAAGACUUCAAUAAGCCUUUCCCCUUGUUGGACUUCUAUUAGGAAGGUGCCUCUUCCUCUGUCUCAUAUUAAAGAGAGAAGGUAUUGCCACAUUAUUAAGCAAUCAGCCAGUAGGGUUCAUCCAAGAGCAAUAAACUGACCUCUCAAGAGAAAAUUAGUGGAGCUUAGGAAAUUAGAGCUGGAAACCCCAACUGAGUGAUCUCACACAUCCCUGAAGAAUCAGCGCCAUAUACAUUACACUUUCUGGUGUGGGCACUUUCUUUUCAAUUUAAUUUUAAAUGUUUCAAGUGAUCACAAUUUCACUGCUACAUUUUAGAGCAGUCAACAAGCUAUUAAUCCAUCUUCCCUGAGAUACCGAGAAUAUGAUGGCUCCAGCAAACUUCAGAAAUGUCCAUCUGACUCUCACCUGGACCUGCCGGCUGAACAGCUUUCAGGUCUAAUUCAGAUCCUGGCACCCCUGCUUAGCUGCAGGACCUUAAACAAGACCCUCAACCGACAUCAUCUUAGGAGUCCUCAUUUGUAAAACAGAAACCUCACCACCUAUCUCACAAAAGUUGCUAUAGGUGUUAAAUGAGGUGAUGCAUGUAGAGUGCAUUGAAUGCACACAGUGGGUACUCAUUAAAUGUUUGCUGAUUCUGGAGUAUUGCAUGGGUUUUCAACAAUUGUUUUCCUGGCAGAGGAACAGUCUAUCCUAAGUCAACAACUCCACCUUUUGCAUUUCCCUUGACCACACUAGAAGGUAAGAGCAGAUGGUACAGUGUAUGACUUUGCAAAAGCAACAUCCUAUUUGGUACUCAAACCUCGGACUUAGUCAUGCCAAUGGAAUUAACAAGCUUCAAUCACAAAAAUGGUUUGGAGUCCUCACUGGGCAUUUUCACUGUAGACAAGAACUGGAAUUGGAACACAGGCCAUGGGGAUGGGGAAAGACGACGAAGUGAAGAGUCCCAUUUGAGAUGGACUCAAUCAGGUCAAAUGAAGGAGAGAGAAUAAUGCCCCCACCUGGCUAACCUGCAUGACCACAUGCACAGAGUAUUCAUUCAGUGAACUAUCUACGAGCACCUGCUGAGAGCCAGGUACCGUUCUGGGAGCAGGGACAUCCCAGAGAAAGCCCUCUCUGCCCUGGUAGAGCUUCCUUACUGGUGGGGAAGAGAGUCAACAAAUGAAGAAGCAAAGUAAUUUCUGCUGUGGUAACUGUGACGUCAU
This is a non-coding RNA of Oryctolagus cuniculus (rabbit), 2067 nucleotides long. NCBI's taxonomy places the organism in Eukaryota, Metazoa, Chordata, Mammalia, Lagomorpha, Leporidae. The record is from RefSeq and is a predicted model, not a curated record.